RNAcentral lists this ribosomal RNA (467 nucleotides) under uncultured bacterium. Its description in RNAcentral is "partial 16S ribosomal RNA". It matches the Rfam family "Bacterial small subunit ribosomal RNA", at positions 28 to 506 of the family's 1533-position model. The record is from RNAcentral.
GACGAACGCUGGCGGCGUGCUUAACACAUGCAAGUCGAACGGAAAGGCCCUGCUUUUGUGGGGUGCUCGAGUGGCGAACGGGUGAGUAACACGUGAGUAACCUGCCCUUGACUUUGGGAUAACUUCAGGAAACUGGGGCUAAUACCGGAUAGGAGCUCCUGCUGCAUGGUGGGGGUUGGAAAGUUUCGGCGGUUGGGGAUGGACUCGCGGCUUAUCAGCUUGUUGGUGGGGUAGUGGCUUACCAAGGCUUUGACGGGUAGCCGGCCUGAGAGGGUGACCGGCCACAUUGGGACUGAGAUACGGCCCAGACUCCUACGGGAGGCAGAAGUGGGGAAUAUUGCACAAUGGGCGGAAGCCUGAUGCAGCAACGCCGCGUGCGGGAUGACGGCCUUCGGGUUGUAAACCGCUUUCGCCUGUGACGAAGCGUGAGUGACGGUAAUGGGUAAAGAAGCACCGGCUAACUACGU